Molecule: long non-coding RNA, 585 nt
Filed under: Mus caroli (Ryukyu mouse)
Lineage: Eukaryota; Metazoa; Chordata; Mammalia; Rodentia; Muridae
Description: lncRNA (MGP_CAROLIEiJ_G0002319.1)
Source: RNAcentral
GUUGCAAGGUGGACAGAGGGAGGGAGUUGCGAUCUUCCCCUCUGCCAGUGCUGGAAAAGCCACCGAGAAAUCAAGUCAGUCAUCAGUAUCCAGGCUACACGUCAGGCUGUGCUGGAUGUGCCCAGAUUUGACGUGUAUUUCCUGAAACUUGUCACCUGUGGAAAGCUGCUUGAUCUCACAGGGAUGGCUGUGGCCCUCAGGAUGCUGACACACAACUGUUCCAAGAGGAACACUGUGCAUGCUGACACACAGGACCAUCCUCUCUUUGCUGCAUACCGGCCUCCUUGGGAGUGGGAGCCACAGACGAUGGAUCUUGCUGAUCAUGUCGCUUGACUCUCAAGCAGGCUGGUACCUGCCUGAACUCCCAGCAACCUCCCAGGGAUAAAAAGAUGUUUACAGCAGCAAGAUCGAGGAUGCGAAAGGUGGUCAAGCCUAAGGUGGAGGUCUCUGACCAUUUCCAAGCCAGUAUCGACUGAGAGGAUGGCAGAGUGUACAGUUGGACCUGCGUUUGAUCACAGCUAGGCCACUUGCUUCCAUGUGGCCCCUGGUUGAGUCACAACAUGUGCCCGUGGUUUGGUUUGCUCA